AUGGCAGCGUCGCACUGCCAUCUCCUCCUAGCGGCAUCACACCGCAACCACCUGUUCGCGCGGCAUCACACCGGCGAAGACCUCCUUGUCGUGGACGACGCCGUCGCAGCGCCGGACACCACCAUGCACCAUCUUGUCGUGGUCGACGCCGUCGCAGCGCCGGACACCACCAUGCACCAUCUUGUCGUGGUCGACGCCGUCACAGCGCCCAUCACCACACCAUCAUCAUCUUGCGGCAUCGCACCGCAACCGGCCACCAGCGGCAUCGCGCCGCCAAUGGCCUUCAUCUCGCACGGACGUCCUCCACGUCACAUGGAGUCCACCGCGUCACCGCCGUCGCAGCCGUUGCCUCCGCCCAGCACCACGGCGGCCACCAUAGCCGCCGGCACCGUCGUCGCCGCCACGGAUCAACAAGGCUCUGAUGCCAAUUGUUGGCGCCGCUCCUCUCGCAGCGCCGCUUCUUCUUCUACCUCGAGCUCCCUCACAAAACUCUCUUGUGGUUUCUCUCUAUCUUUUUCUCUCAAGAACACAAGAACACACACAUACACAUGA
This 552-nucleotide ribosomal RNA is filed under the name Triticum aestivum (bread wheat). RNAcentral describes it as "partial small subunit ribosomal RNA". The record is from RNAcentral. Lineage: Eukaryota; Viridiplantae; Streptophyta; Magnoliopsida; Poales; Poaceae.